AGAAUCAACGCUGGCGGCGUGCCUAACACAUGCAAGUCGCACGAGAAAGGGACUUCGGUCCUGAGUACAGUGGCGCACGGGUGAGUAACACGUGAAUAAUCUACCUCCGAGUGGGGAAUAACUGAGAGAAAUCUUAGCUAAUACCGCAUAACACUUACGAGUCAAAGCAGCAAUGCGCUUGGAGAGGAGUUCGCGGCAGAUUAGUUAGUUGGCGGGGUAAUGGCCCACCAAGACGAUGACCUGUAUCCGGCCUGAGAGGGCGCACGGACACACUGGAACUGAAACACGGUCCAGACUCCUACGGGAGGCAGCAGUGGGGAAUUUUGCGCAAUGGGGGAAACCCUGACGCAGCAACGCCGCGUGGAGGAUGAAAUAUCUUGGUAUGUAAACUCCUUUCGAUGGGGAAGAUAAUGACGGUACCCAUAGAAGAAGCCCCGGCUAACUUCGUGCCAGCAGCCGC
RNAcentral lists this ribosomal RNA (460 nucleotides) under uncultured bacterium. Its description in RNAcentral is "SSU rRNA". It matches the Rfam family "Bacterial small subunit ribosomal RNA", at positions 26 to 518 of the family's 1533-position model. The record is from RNAcentral.